Macaca fascicularis (crab-eating macaque) is the source of this 148-nucleotide unclassified non-coding RNA. It matches the Rfam family "Metazoan signal recognition particle RNA". From Rfam's summary of the family: The signal recognition particle (SRP) is a universally conserved ribonucleoprotein. It is involved in the co-translational targeting of proteins to membranes. The record is from Ensembl. Lineage: Eukaryota; Metazoa; Chordata; Mammalia; Primates; Cercopithecidae.
GCUGGGUGUGGUGGUGCACGCCUGUAGUCCCAGCUACUUGGGAGGCUGAGGCAGGAGAAUUGCUUGAACCCGGGAGGUAGAGGUUGCAGUGAGUCAAGAUUGCGCCACUGCACUCCAGCCUGGGCAACAGAGCAAGCCUCUGUCUCAA